Molecule: non-coding RNA, 94 nt
Organism: Mycena metata
Lineage: Eukaryota; Fungi; Basidiomycota; Agaricomycetes; Agaricales; Mycenaceae
Source: the annotation of a GenBank genome assembly
AGCAGUAUGGUGUAUUGAUGCACACGGGGUAUCUGUAAGGUCCUCUAUGCGUAGGUUGAACCCCGAGGUCCUUGUUCGAAUCAAGGUGCUGCUC